Molecule: transfer RNA, 52 nt
Filed under: Apaloderma vittatum (bar-tailed trogon)
Lineage: Eukaryota; Metazoa; Chordata; Aves; Trogoniformes; Trogonidae
Rfam family: tRNA
About the family: Transfer RNA (tRNA) molecules are approximately 80 nucleotides in length. Their secondary structure includes four short double-helical elements and three loops (D, anti-codon, and T loops). Further hydrogen bonds mediate the characteristic L-shaped molecular structure. tRNAs have two regions of fundamental functional importance: the anti-codon, which is responsible for specific mRNA codon recognition, and the 3' end, to which the tRNAs corresponding amino acid is attached (by aminoacyl-tRNA synthetases). tRNAs cope with the degeneracy of the genetic code in two manners: having more than one tRNA (with a specific anti-codon) for a particular amino acid; and 'wobble' base-pairing, i.e. permitting non-standard base-pairing at the 3rd anti-codon position.
Source: Rfam by way of RNAcentral
GCUCAGUUGAGCAUGGCGCUAACAACGCCAAGGUUGCGGGUUCGAUUCCUGU